Molecule: ribosomal RNA, 591 nt
Filed under: Leifsonia sp. CPCC203933
Lineage: Bacteria; Bacillati; Actinomycetota; Actinomycetes; Micrococcales; Microbacteriaceae
Description: bacterial SSU rRNA
Rfam family: Bacterial small subunit ribosomal RNA
Source: RNAcentral
GUGGCGAACGGGUGAGUAACACGUGAGUAACCUGCCCUUGACUCUGGAAUAAGCGUUGGAAACGACGUCUAAUACUGGAUACGAGCUUCAGCCGCAUGGCUAGGAGCUGGAAAGAAUUUCGGUCAAGGAUGGACUCGCGGCCUAUCAGGUAGUUGGUGAGGUAAUGGCUCACCAAGCCUACGACGGGUAGCCGGCCUGAGAGGGUGACCGGCCACACUGGAACUGAGACACGGUCCAGACUCCUACGGGAGGCAGCAGUGGGGAAUAUUGCACAAUGGGCGCAAGCCUGAUGCAGCAACGCCGCGUGAGGGACGACGGCCUUCGGGUUGUAAACCUCUUUUAGUAGGGAAGAAGCGAUGUGCUUGUCACAUCAUGACGGUACCUGCAGAAAAAGCACCGGCUAACUACGUGCCAGCAGCCGCGGUAAUACGUAGGGUGCAAGCGUUAUCCGGAAUUAUUGGGCGUAAAGAGCUCGUAGGCGGUUUGUCGCGUCUGCUGUGAAAACUGGAGGCUCAACCUCCAGCCUGCAGUGGGUACGGGCAGACUAGAGUGCGGUAGGGGAGAUUGGAAUUCCUGGUGUAGCGGUGGAAU